Molecule: ribosomal RNA, 390 nt
Filed under: uncultured bacterium
Lineage: Bacteria
Description: bacterial SSU rRNA
Rfam family: Bacterial small subunit ribosomal RNA
Source: RNAcentral
AUUGAACGCUGGCGGCAUGCCUUACACAUGCAAGUCGAACGGUAACGCGGGGCAACCUGGCGACGAGUGGCGAACGGGUGAGUAAAGUAUCGGAACGUGCCCAAUAGUGGGGGAUAGCCCGGCGAAAGCCGGAUUAAUACCGCAUGAGACCUGAGGGUGAAAGCGGGGGACUCGCAAGAGCCUCGCGCUGUUGGAGCGGCCGAUAUCAGAUUAGGUAGUUGGUGGGGUAAAGGCCUACCAAGCCGACGAUCUGUAGCUGGUCUGAGAGGAUGACCAGCCACACUGGGACUGAGACACGGCCCAGACUCCUACGGGAGGCAGCAGUGGGGAAUUUUGGACAAUGGGCGCAAGCCUGAUCCAGCCAUGCCGCGUGCGGGAAGAAGGCCUCGG